CUUCUCUUUCUUCUCGUCUCUCUCUAAACACACAGUGCAACCGAUUUUCUUUCGGACGUUUUUCAACAACGCAGCAGCGCUGGCGGGCCCUGUUGAUCGGUACCGUUGCAUUGCAGAAAAAUGGUGAAUGGGUAAUGCAUAAUUUGUGAUUACAAAUUCCAUUUAAUUAGUAUUUGAGUGUUCCUCUUCUCUCUCUAAACACAUAGUGCAAUCGAUUUCUUUUCGGCGUUUUUCAACAACAUAGCGGCACUGGCCAGCCUUGAUAUGAGCGGUGCCGUUGCAUUGCAGAAAAACAGUGAAUGGGUAAUGCACAAUUUGUGAUUACAGAUUCCAUUUAAUUAGUAUUUGAGUGUUCCAUGCUACGCUCUGCUGUUUUCAGGUUAAUUUAAUUUAUGUUUGUUGAAUCUUGAGGUUUAGGGGUAAACAUUGUUGGCAUUAAUUUUUGAUUUUCAAUCAAAAUCAUGAUUUUCUAUCCAAUGGAAUAUAGAAAUAUCAAAAAAAGGACUAGAUUUUCUCCGAUUAGAUCUGGUGUCGGUAAAAAGGAUUCUCCGGUACACAUAUCAAUGAUGUAACGAUGACAGGGCUGGCCGUGAAUGGGUAAUGGUUGUGGUGGUGACGGAGAUGGUGAAGUGGAGACGACGUUGCAGUGAGGCUUUUUUGGGGUGUUGGUUUUGUAUCUGUUUUGUUGGUGAUGAGGUGGUGUUAGUUUUGGUGGCGAGAGUUUUGACGACGAUGCUGGUGGUGGUGGUGGUGAGUUUUGGUGGUAGUCACAAGUGUUUUGAUUGUUUAUGAUCAAGAAAUUGGCAUAUGUGACUAACCAUUUGGUUAUCUGUGACCAAAUGUUUGAGUGUGAUCUUAGAAUUUGACAAUCGGUGACCAAUUAAUUUGACAUCGAAAUAAUCUGUGGCCUGUA
This 913-nucleotide long non-coding RNA is filed under the name Olea europaea subsp. europaea. The record is from RNAcentral. Lineage: Eukaryota; Viridiplantae; Streptophyta; Magnoliopsida; Lamiales; Oleaceae.